UAGCGUUAUUCGGAAUUACUGGGCGUAAAGCGCACGUAGGCGGCUUUGUAAGUUAGAGGUGAAAGCCUGGAGCUCAACUCCAGAACUGCCUUUAAGACUGCAUCGCUUGAAUCCAGGAGAGGUGAGUGGAAUUCCGAGUGUAGAGGUGAAAUUCGUAGAUAUUCGGAAGAACACCAGUGGCGAAGGCGGCUCACUGGACCGUUGUUGACGCUGAGGUGCGAAAGCGUGGGGAGCAAACAGG
RNAcentral lists this ribosomal RNA (241 nucleotides) under uncultured bacterium. RNAcentral's name for it is "partial 16S ribosomal RNA". It matches the Rfam family "Bacterial small subunit ribosomal RNA", at positions 536 to 776 of the family's 1533-position model. The record is from RNAcentral.